RNAcentral lists this ribosomal RNA (23 nucleotides) under Opuntia cochenillifera. RNAcentral's name for it is "Nopalea cochenillifera partial 18S ribosomal RNA". The record is from RNAcentral. Lineage: Eukaryota; Viridiplantae; Streptophyta; Magnoliopsida; Caryophyllales; Cactaceae.
GGUUAACCGGCGAAAGAUUAUUG